Oncorhynchus tshawytscha (Chinook salmon) is the source of this 2532-nucleotide long non-coding RNA. RefSeq lists it as uncharacterized. The record is from RefSeq and is a predicted model, not a curated record. The transcript has 5 exons. NCBI's taxonomy places the organism in Eukaryota, Metazoa, Chordata, Actinopteri, Salmoniformes, Salmonidae.
CCUCCUCUCUCUCUUUCCCCCUCUCCCCCUCUCUCUCCCCCUCCCCUCCUCUCUCUCUCUGUCUCCUUUUGCAGUAGUGUUAUGAGAGCAGGAUACUGUAUUUUUAUUCCCAUGCCCUAAUAAGGCUGUCUGAUCUCCUCCAGGGAAUACUAGUGUAUGUAAGGAGACUAGAAGAAAAUAAGUAAGAGAGGGAGAGAGGAGGAGCGUGAGGAGAAAGAAAGAUUGGAGAAAAAGAGAGGCGGGGGAAAGGUGUCUGAGAGUUUUGGUUCUCUAUGGUCUCUGUAGUUCAAUCCUCAUGGGUGUCAUUCUGAUAACACAACAUAACACAACAAAACAAAACACACAGAGACUUUCCAUUACAGUCACGUGAUAGAUGGACAAUGUAAAGACAACUAUGUCUAUCUCAUUUCACUGAAGCUCAGGUGUGUAGACACUAACAGAAGUGAGGAGUGAGGGAGUUUGGUUCAGGUUUGUAGACACUAACAGAAGUGAGGAGUGAGGAGUUUGGUUCAGGUUUGUAGACACUAACAGAAGUGAGGAGUGAGGGAGUUUGGUUCAGGUGUGUAGACACUAACAGAAGUGAGGAGUGAGGAGUUUGGUUCAGGUUUGUAGACACUAACAGAAGUGAGGAGUGAGGGAGUUUGGUUCAGGUUUGUAGACACUAACAGAAGUGAGGAGUGAGGAGUUUGGUUCAGGUUUGUAGACACUAACAGAAGUGAGGAGUGAGGGAGUUUGGUUCAGGUGUGUAGACAUUAACAGAAGUGAGGAGUGAGGGAGUUUGGUUCAGGUUUGUAGACACUAACAGAAGUGAGGAGUGAGGAGUUUGGUUCAGGUGUGUAGACACUAACAGAAGUGAGGAGUGAGGGAGUUUGGUUCAGGUGUGUAGACACUAACAGAAGUGAGGAGUGAGGAGUUUGGUUCAGGUUUGUAGACACCAACAGAAGUGAGGAGUGAGGAGUUUGGUUCAGGUGUGUAGACACUAACAGAAGUGAGGAGUGAGGGAGUUUGGUUCAGGUGUGUAGACACUAACAGAAGUGAGGAGUGAGGGAGUUUGGUUCAGGUUUGUAGACACUAACAGAAGUGAGGAGUGAGGGAGUUUGGUUCAGGUUUGUAGACACUAACAGAAGUGAGGAGUGAGGAGUUUGGUUCAGGUUUGUAGACACUAACAGAAGUGAGGAGUGAGGGAGUUUGGUUCAGGUUUGUAGACACUAACAGAAGUGAGGAGUGAGGGAGUUUGGUUCAGGUUUGUAGACACUAACAGAAGUGAGGAGUGAGGGAGUUUGGUUCAGGUUUGUAGACACUAACAGAAGUGAGGAGUGAGGAGUUUGGUUCAGGUUUGUAGACAUUAACAGAAGUGAGGAGUGAGGGAGUUUGGUUCAGGUUUGUAGACACUAACAGAAGUGAGGAGUGAGGGAGUUUGGUUCAGGUUUGUAGACACUAACAGAAGUGAGGAGUGAGGAGUUUGGUUCAGGUUUGUAGACACUAACAGAAGUGAGGAGUGAGGAGUUUGGUUCAGGUUUGUAGACACUAACAGAAGUGAGGAGUGAGGGAGUUUGGUUCAGGUUUGUAGACACUAACAGAAGUGAGGAGUGAGGAGUUUGGUUCAGGUUUAUAGACACUAACAGAAGUGAGGAGUGAGGAGUUUGUGCCACAUUCGGGUCAACGAGGUCCGGAGAGCCGCACUGAAAAUGUGAUAUAUAUUCUCACUGUCAAUUCUUUAUUUAUUAUUGUCCUCUAAACAUCAUUUUGGGAAUGUUGAUGCUCCCUGACUGUCCAUCUUUAAUUUAGGUGAUUAUCAGUGGUGUUUAUCAGUGGUGAUUAUCAGUGGUGAUUAUCAGUGGUGAUUAUCGGUGGUGAUUAUCAGUGGUGAUUAUCAGUGGUGAUUAUCAGUGGUGAUUAUCAGUUAGCUGGACACAGUCAAGAAACUGCAUGAAUGUAGGUCCAUUAUCAUUUCUACAGUUUCCAUUAGUUUUUUGUCAAUUUAAAGUAUAUUGAGUUUGUUUCCCCCGUCAGAAUAUAUAUAUUUUUUAAAUAAUGUGUACACACGCGGGCCGAAUUGACCCCCUUGUAUGUUUGACACCCCUUCACUAGACCACUCCCAGACCACUGGAUGGGCCAGUCUAAGGGGCACCCAGCCCCAUUCCUUUGGGUGUGGGCAAAUACCAGAGGGGUGUGUGAAAUAGUGGACAGUGUCUGUUCUAAAAUCCAAAUACUGUAACCUCAUUAGUACAGGUUUUACAAAACAUGUGUGUGUGUGUGUGUGUGUGUGUGUGUGUGUGUGUGUGUGUGUGUGUGUGUGUGUGUGUGUGUGUGUGUGUGUGUGUGUGUGUGUGUGUGUGUGUGUGUGUGUGAACAAUGUGUUGAGGGGUCAUUCCUAGGAGAGAGAUGUGAUUGGUUGAAACUGUGUGUGUGUGGUUACUAACCAUGCAGAACGAGGAAUGUGGUUUGCCCCAUCAGUAAAGUUUCACAACUUCAUCCCUCUCUCUCUCUCUCUCUCUCUCUCUCUCUCUCUCUCUCCCCCCCCCCUCCCUU